Molecule: ribosomal RNA, 1372 nt
Filed under: uncultured bacterium
Lineage: Bacteria
Description: bacterial SSU rRNA
Rfam family: Bacterial small subunit ribosomal RNA
Source: RNAcentral
GAUAAACGCUGGCGGCGUGCCUAAUACAUGCAAGUCGAGCGAACGGACGAGAAGCUUGCUUCUCUGAUGUUAGCGGCGGACGGGUGAGUAACACGUGGAUAACCUACCUAUAAGACUGGGAUAACUUCGGGAAACCGGAGCUAAUACCGGAUAAUAUUUUGAACCGCAUGGUUCAAAAGUGAAAGACGGUCUUGCUGUCACUUAUAGAUGGAUCCGCGCUGCAUUAGCUAGUUGGUAAGGUAACGGCUUACCAAGGCAACGAUGCAUAGCCGACCUGAGAGGGUGAUCGGCCACACUGGAACUGAGACACGGUCCAGACUCCUACGGGAGGCAGCAGUAGGGAAUCUUCCGCAAUGGGCGAAAGCCUGACGGAGCAACGCCGCGUGAGUGAUGAAGGUCUUCGGAUCGUAAAACUCUGUUAUUUGGGAAGAACAUAUGUGUAAGUAACUGUGCACAUCUUGACGGUACCUAAUCAGAAAGCCACGGCUAACUACGUGCCAGCAGCCGCGGUAAUACGUAGGUGGCAAGCGUUAUCCGGAAUUAUUGGGCGUAAAGCGCGCGUAGGCGGUUUUUUAAGUCUGAUGUGAAAGCCCACGGCUCAACCGUGGAGGGUCAUUGGAAACUGGAAAACUUGAGUGCAGAAGAGGAAAGUGGAAUUCCAUGUGUAGCGGUGAAAUGCGCAGAGAUAUGGAGGAACACCAGUGGCGAAGGCGACUUUCUGGUCUGUAACUGACGCUGAUGUGCGAAAGCGUGGGGAUCAAACAGGAUUAGAUACCCUGGUAGUCCACGCCGUAAACGAUGAGUGCUAAGUGUUAGGGGGUUUCCGCCCCUUAGUGCUGCAGCUAACGCAUUAAGCACUCCGCCUGGGGAGUACGACCGCAAGGUUGAAACUCAAAGGAAUUGACGGGGACCCGCACAAGCGGUGGAGCAUGUGGUUUAAUUCGAAGCAACGCGAAGAACCUUACCAAAUCUUGACAUCCUUUGACAACUCUAGAGAUAGAGCCUUCCCCUUCGGGGGACAAAGUGACAGGUGGUGCAUGGUUGUCGUCAGCUCGUGUCGUGAGAUGUUGGGUUAAGUCCCGCAACGAGCGCAACCCUUAAGCUUAGUUGCCAUCAUUAAGUUGGGCACUCUAAGUUGACUGCCGGUGACAAACCGGAGGAAGGUGGGGAUGACGUCAAAUCAUCAUGCCCCUUAUGAUUUGGGCUACACACGUGCUACAAUGGACAAUACAAAGGGCAGCGAAACCGCGAGGUCAAGCAAAUCCCAUAAAGUUGUUCUCAGUUCGGAUUGUAGUCUGCAACUCGACUACAUGGAGCUGGAAUCGCUAGUAAUCGUAGAUCAGCAUGCUACGGUGAAUACGUUCCCGGGUCU